Long non-coding RNA from Paramormyrops kingsleyae, 1629 nucleotides. RefSeq lists it as uncharacterized. The record is from RefSeq and is a predicted model, not a curated record. NCBI's taxonomy places the organism in Eukaryota, Metazoa, Chordata, Actinopteri, Osteoglossiformes, Mormyridae.
GCCUCCCCUCAAUGUGACAAUGUGCCACUUUCGCCUUUACAUUCAACAAGAAGUGCAUUAAAUCAACGUAGUUGUUACCAAGUCUCUAUGAAUCAUCCACGAGUUAUAUUUUUUUAAAAGCUUUGAAUUGAAGGUUAAUCUCACUAUACGAAGAUCUGGGACAUUCAGUGCUUUAUAAUUUGUAUAACAGGUUUCACUCGCCUCGCUUUUCUGUUACUUACUGUGGCCGUGGAUUUAUGGCUUCGCUAACAGAGGCCGUUUUACGUCCGGAUCGAUGUCCCCGGACCGGUUGCGUGACGAGGUUUGUUAAUUGAUGACCUACACCAAAAUCCAUUAAGUCUCUGGUGGCAGCAAGGCGUGCAAAAGUGCAGAGCUACGUGCCAAAGCAUACCUCAGUGUACUCGAGAAGAUUAAAUCUUUAUAUUAUGCAUUGUUAAUAAACACGUUAUGAUAAGCUUAUGGAUAGAAAAAAUAUUUACAACAGUCACAGUGUAGGAAGUUCUAAAAUACCACAUAAACGAAAAGCCUUAGAUUUUAUGAUAUUAUCGAAAAUCAUUAAAUGGCAUUCGCUAUAUAUUUCUUUCAAAGUUGACAGUAAUUAGUGGUAAUUUCGAAGCUGUCAGCUUCUAAAAAUAAUAAUUAUCGCGGCCUGUUCAUGAAUCAAAGGAGUAUGGCCUGGUUCAGGUUUAAGUGUUGCCUUAAAUCUGCAGCAUCAAGUCGAGAAAUGCAAAUUUGUUAACAAACGGGAAGUUAAAAUAAAUACGAGCCGACGACCAUGAUGGAGGAUUUGGAAACUUAAAGUGGACACGGACUGCACACCGCAACAUAGCGCUGGUAACCUUCCUACCAGCACUCAGUGCCAUUACUGCCCACUGAGGGUAGCAGACAACCACAAUGUCAGUCGGAGGAAAAACACACAGGAUGGCCCAGCUAGUCUCUGCAGAUGCCAGCGUCAGGAAGAAGGCAGCCUGAUGUGGAGGGAGGAGUAUGCAAAGUUUUCAUCAUGCCUGCGAAUAACUGAUCACUCCGCAGGUGGAACUGUGUCAUGUUUGAGCUCACAGUAGAACCAUCCUAUCUUUUUGCCAACCAGGCCUUGUUUGUUUCCAUAUUUGUUUUUGGAUAAAUUGUGUGUCUUGGUGUUUACCAGUGCUAAACAGUCCUCUUUCUCCACUCCCCAGACACAUCUUGUUAAUAGGAUCAGACAUUUUUAGGACAGUCUCCAAGUAACUGCUAUGUCUCUCUUCCUCUCGUAACUAUAGUGAUUUUUAAUACGCAUUGUUGUCACAAAGUGGCAAAACGAAGUGGUUCAGUGCAACGACUGCCAAACACACAGCAACACGUAUGAGAAAUUUCCAGUUUUUACUUCUGCAUUAAGACCCACAUCACCCUGCCUUCAGUUGCUGCCUGUUUCCGAAACACUUCAUUAGUAAUAAUUCUGGGCGUAAUGACCUCAUAUACAAUUGCGUUUCUAAUGAAGUUAUCUGACUCAUUUUUAACAAGUAUCUCUUCAGUCUUUAAUUGCUCAUUCAGAAAUACCCAGUACCAAUUAAUACACAAAACAUAUGAAUAUUUAAAGUAAUUUUGUAGCACGACUUUUUGGAAUUAAGGAUUAGAGGAGCUUGACCUAGA